Long non-coding RNA from Nerophis ophidion (straightnose pipefish), 3020 nucleotides. RefSeq lists it as uncharacterized. Lineage: Eukaryota; Metazoa; Chordata; Actinopteri; Syngnathiformes; Syngnathidae. The transcript is spliced from 6 exons. The record is from RefSeq and is a predicted model, not a curated record.
AAGUUAAAACAUUAAUGUUGUAGGUAUAAGUGAUGUGUUGUUUUAAGUAUUUUUUAUGCACAAUUUUGUUAAGUAAGGAUUAGAGCGUCGAAUGUUUGAAAUGUUUGGUCAUAAUUAUACAUGGUAUUUACGCAGGUAUCACUCCGCCAGAAAAGUAGAGACCUGUUUAUGUGUUUCGUGUUUCGAAAACAGGUAUCACUCCGCCAGAAAAGUAGAGACCUGUUUAUGUGUUUCGAGAACAGGUAUCACUCCGCCAGAAAAGUAGAGACCUGUUUAUGUGUUUCGUGUUUCCAAAACAGAUGGAGACCAGGAGGACACAGAUGUGUGGGGGGGGGGUGUCCUUCCUGCCACGGCCAUCCAUCACAGCCCACUACCACCUACCACCUCCACUUAGGGUCAUACCACUUCUGCAAGUACUAAUCACUAAGCUCACAUUGGUGGCCUUCAACUUCUGGGACUUCUUUUAGGUGAAAGUGACUAAAAAGGUGAAGUAAAUCUUAAAUCUAACCUGGAACUUAGUGAAGUAGAAACAAACACAAGCGCUGACUCUUUAUGUUGGCUCCACUCUCUCAGAGUAAAUGUCCAAAGUCAAACACGUCCACUAGAAGCUGUUACGUGAGCGCUUGGUGACUGGACCCCAAUAUGCAGGGACGGCAGGCAAUGUGCAGUCAUUCGCCAUGGUGGACUGGUGCUGGUUGUUCCAGACAAAACCCUGACUUGUUCCCACCCAGCAAGGCCAUGUUCUUGCUCUUCUUGGCCCCCCCGUGCCACUCCGGGCCCCCACCAUCUGUUCCCUGGCACCGCCACCCCUGACCCCUUGGAGGGGGACCUAGAAUGCUGACACCUUCACACUCGCUCAGUUCCAGGACAAGAUCCCAGGCCAGCAUUGAGACAUGAAGCAGGUAAUAAUGGUGAUAAUCAUGCUUUAUGCUUCCUGUUUGUGUUUAUUUCCAACAUGCUUACACUCACAAUAUGUUGGAAAAGGAGUAGGAAGAAGUAGACUUUACAAUUUACUCCAUCUAAUCAUCAUUUUGUUGUAAACAUAUUCUUCAAGUGGAUCCUACUAGGUUAUUGUUCAUUAAUCCAUCCCAUAAUUCCACACAAGGGUUGUACGGUAUAGCGUUACUACUAUAGUAUCACGGUACUAAUGAAUCAAACACGGUACUAUACUCUCUUUGAAAAGUACCUCUUCUCCAUAUUUUAUUUUUACAGGCAUGAUGGUGUGUUGUCAUUGCUGGUUUUAGGAGCAGAGGAGCAUGUAUGGCAGCGCACACACACAGAGUACUUCCAAGCAGACACAGUGUGUGGACAGAAAAGGGAAAAUGGACGCAUUUUGGUGUAAAAAGUCAAGAUAAAAGUGAAGUUAUAACACUGAAACACCCUCAGGAAGAGCUGCUUUAACACAUGCAGCUAACAUCCAUCCACAGUGUUUUAGCUACUUCAAUUAAAUAAAGUAAGUUUCUUACAGGUAUUAUUAUCACUGGAGGACGAGAAAUAGCUAAACAUGCUUCACUACACACCGUAGGAGGAUACCGUAGCUCACCGCUAACGACGCCUUUCCUGAAUGUAAACAGAUGCCAUGUGUGGAUCAACACCUGACAUCCACAGUAAUGAUACCAAGUACAGGAGCGGGUUUCUAGUCGAUACUUCUAUGAUUACAUCGAUAUUUUUUAUCGUCACAAAAUAUUUUUCUUUUUUUUUUAAAUUAUAUUAUGUUUAUAAAGUAAGUAAAUACGUGCUUGGACACAUGAGGACUUUGAAUAUGACCAAUGUAUGAUCCUGGAACUACUUGGUAUCGACAUGAUCCAUACCUAAAUGUGUGGUAUCAUCCAAAACUAAUGUCAGGUAUCAAAGCAGAGAAGAAUAAGUGAUUAUUACAUUUGAACAAAAGUGUAGAUAGAACAUGUUGAAACAGAAAAUAAGCAGAUAUUAACAGUAAAUGAACAAGUAGAUUAAUAAUGAAUGUUUACAGUUUGUCCCUCAUAAUGUGUAUCAAAUAAUAGGUGUAUAAAUGACACAAUAUGUAACAGCAGACUAAUUAGGAGUAUUUGUUUGUUUGUUUGUUUACUACUAAAAGACAAGUUGUCUAGUAUGUUCAACAUCUUAUUGAAGGACUAAAUGACAAUAAUAAACAUACUUUUCAUCAACACUAACAUCUGUUGUUCAGAUAAAGACAAUAAUGACAUUUUUUGUGGUCCUUUUAUUCAUAAAAAUAUUGAAAAGUAUGGAAAUACAUUUUGCUGUGGCGACAAGCUUAUUGCACAAAGUGAUGUAGUGCUAAAUGUUUGAAGUGUUGUACGUGCAAACUGACUUAUAUUUCUCCUCUUUGGUUGAAAAUAAUUGUGGCUCGCAGCUUACACUUUACAUCCAUUUACCAAAUCACUACAUUUGAAUAUUUUUCAUUCAAUAAAUAAUGUUUGUUAUUUCUCUCUAUCCAACACAACGUUUUAUUCUCAGUGAUAUUUUUGUAGCAGUUAGUGAAUGAAGUGUAGUUAUUUCCUCAUAAUUCUGCACAACAACUCAGACAUGCUAACACUAGUAAGAGGAUAUGAUGUUUGUUUUUUUAAUCCAAUUAUAUUUAUAUUAUUGACAUAUUUCCUGCCACUUUAUGUUGUAUAUUUUGUACAUGAGGUUCAUUUGAUCAUCUAUUUUUACACCCAGAAAUAUGAUUUCUUUCACCCUUUCAGUGUCUACUCUAUUAUAUAUAUUAGGUAGAGAAGCCAACAAUGAAUAAUUACUUUAGAGCAGUGGUUUUUAAACUUAGUUUUUCACAUCCCACCUCAGAAAACACCAUAGCCUCCAUAAUGACCAACAUUAACAUGCAGGAGCAUAAAAGGCCUAAAUAUUCAUUAAAAACAAGGCAGAGGUUGUAUUUAUUUAAUUAUCCAUCCAUCACUCCAUUUCCUACCGCUUGUCCCUUAUGGGGUUGCGGGGGGUCGCUGGAGCCUAUCUCAGCUGCAUUCGGGCGAAAGGCGGGGUACACCCUGGACAAGUCGCAGCCUCAUCGCAGUUAUUUAAUU